RNAcentral lists this ribosomal RNA (900 nucleotides) under uncultured archaeon. RNAcentral describes it as "bacterial SSU rRNA". It matches the Rfam family "Archaeal small subunit ribosomal RNA", at positions 23 to 922 of the family's 1478-position model. The record is from RNAcentral.
GUUACUGCUAUCGGAGUUCGAUUAAGCCAUGCGAGUCUAAAGGUUUCUUCGGAAACCUUGGCGGACUGCUCAGUAACACGUGGAUAACCUACCCUUGGGACUGGGAUAACCCCGGGAAACUGGGGAUAAUACCGGAUAGAUCAGGGAUGCUGGAAUGCGCCUUGAUCCAAAGCUCCGGCGCCCAAGGAUGGGUCUGCGGCCUAUCAGGUUGUAGUGGGUGUAACGUACCUACUAGCCGACGACGGGUACGGGUUGUGAGAGCAAGAGCCCGGAGAUGGAUUCUGAGACACGAAUCCAGGCCCUACGGGGUGCAGCAGGCGCGAAACCUUUACAAUGUGCGAAAGCAUGAUAAGGGAACUCCGAGUGCCAGCAUCUAAUGCUGGCUGUCCUUGUGCCUAAAACGCACAAGAUAGCAAGGGCCGGGUAAGACCGGUGCCAGCCGCCGCGGUAACACCGGCGGCCCGAGUGGUAGCCGCUAUUAUUGGGUCUAAAGGGUCCGUAGCCGGUUCGAUAAGUCCUCUGGGAAAUCUGGUUGCUUAACAAUCAGACUGCCAAGGGAUACUGUCGAACUUGAGACCGGGAGAGGUAAGAGGUACUUCAGGGGUAGGAGUGAAAUCUUGUAAUCCCUGGGGGACCAUCUGUGGCGAAGGCGUCUUACCAGAACGGGUCUGACGGUGAGGGACGAAAGCUGGGGGCGCAAACCGGAUUAGAUACCCGGGUAGUCCCAGCCGUAAACGAUGCUCGCUAUGUGUCAGGUACGGUGUGACCGUAUCUGGUGCCGUAGGGAAGCCGUGAAGCGAGCCACCUGGGAAGUACGGUCGCAAGACUGAAACUUAAAGGAAUUGGCGGGGGAGCACUACAACGGGUGGAGCCUGCGGUUUAAUUGGAUUCAACGCCGGA